This is a microRNA precursor of Oryza sativa Indica Group (long-grained rice), 194 nucleotides long. It matches the Rfam family "MIR812 microRNA precursor family". Lineage: Eukaryota; Viridiplantae; Streptophyta; Magnoliopsida; Poales; Poaceae. The record is from Rfam.
UUUAAGUGUAGUUGUGGAUUUUCGUAUCCAACGUUUAACCGUUUUAUUUUAAAAAAAGAUUAAUAUUUUUAUUGUUAUUAGAUGAUAAAACAUGAAUAGUACUUUAUGUAUGACUUUUUUUUCAAUUUUUUAUAAUUGUUUCAAAUAAGACGACGGUGAAACGUUGAACAUGGAAAUCAGUAACUACACUUAGG